RNAcentral lists this ribosomal RNA (609 nucleotides) under uncultured bacterium. RNAcentral describes it as "bacterial SSU rRNA". The stretch from base 1 to 519 matches the Rfam family "Bacterial small subunit ribosomal RNA", at positions 338 to 873 of the family's 1533-position model. The record is from RNAcentral.
CCUACGGGAGGCAGCAGUGGGGAAUCUUGCGCAAUGGGCGAAAGCCUGACGCAGCCAUGCCGCGUGGAUGAUGAAGGUCUUAGGAUUGUAAAAUCCUUUCACCGGUGAAGAUAAUGACUGUAGCCGGAGAAGAAGCCCCGGCUAACUUCGUGCCAGCAGCCGCGGUAAUACGAAGGGGGCUAGCGUUGCUCGGAAUUACUGGGCGUAAAGGGAGCGUAGGCGGACAUUUAAGUCAGAGGUGAAAUCCCGGAGCUUAACUUCGGAACUGCCUUUGAUACUGGGUGUCUUGAGUGUGAGAGAGGUAUGUGGAACUCCGAGUGUAGAGGUGAAAUUCGUAGAUAUUCGGAAGAACACCAGUGGCGAAGGCGACAUACUGGCUCAUUACUGACGCUGAGGCUCGAAAGCGUGGGGAGCAAACAGGAUUAGAUACCCUGGUAGUCCACGCCGUAAACGAUGAUUGCUAGUUGUCGGGAAGCUUGCUUCGUCGGUGACGCGAGCUACGCAUUAAGACACUCCGCCGUCGGGAGGUACGGUCGCGAGAAUUAAAACGUUAAAACGGUAAGUUAGACGGCGUGAGACGUGCCGACGGACGACGACGAGGGAGGUAGG